UACGUAGGGUGCGAGCGUUAAUCGGAAUUACUGGGCGUAAAGCGUGCGCAGGCGGUGAUGUAAGUCAGAUGUGAAAUCCCCGGGCUCAACCUGGGAACUGCAUUUGUGACUGCAUCGCUGGAGUGCGGCAGAGGGGGAUGGAAUUCCGCGUGUAGCGGUGAAAUGCGUAGAUAUGCGGAGGAACACCGAUGGCGAAGGCAAUCCCCUGGGCCUGCACUGACGCUCAUGCACGAAAGCGUGGGGAGCAAACAGG
Molecule: ribosomal RNA, 253 nt
Filed under: uncultured bacterium
Lineage: Bacteria
Description: partial 16S ribosomal RNA
Rfam family: Bacterial small subunit ribosomal RNA
Source: RNAcentral